GUGUUUGGCUGAUCUUAAAAAAAUAAUAAUUAGAAGGCAGUAUAAUUGCGUACGUGCAAAGAUGUGCACGUGUUCGCAUUUGCAUAUUAAUUGCAUAUUAAUGUGCUGUCUAGAUUGAAGUAUAUAAAUCUAGUAGUACAUAGUACAUAAGUGUAGUAAAUCUAAUGGUGUUAUGCACACAGGAACACAUGGAGUACACCCCAUGUGCACAGCACAGAGGUUGGAAUCCAGCUUUAACUCAAAGCUACCUUUCAUUAAACUGGGAAAUCCUAAACUCCUUUAAACCGAAAUACUCAGGAAGAAAGUUGCGAAUAAUUAAUAUAAUCCUCAUAUGGAAUACAAGUAGAGGGACCUGAGUGAGGAUGAACAAGAGUAAAGAUAGAUCAACAAAAGCAUAUGAGGCAUACAUGCGUUAUAUGUACAACUGAUUUGCAUGCAUGAAUAUAUGGAUUAUGGAACAGCUGUCAGGAUUGAUAUGAUAGCAGACCUUUGUAUCAGAAGGAGGUUUUUCUCUGUUUCCUUUUUUGCUGUUAUACAUUGAUUAAAAUCCCAUGUAGAUGCUGUAAUAGGAAAUCAAUUUCCUUGUUUUGUGGUUACAUUUUCUUAUAAUAGA
Molecule: long non-coding RNA, 613 nt
Organism: Vidua chalybeata
Lineage: Eukaryota; Metazoa; Chordata; Aves; Passeriformes; Viduidae
Exons: 3
Source: RefSeq, a predicted model, not a curated record